This 162-nucleotide non-coding RNA is filed under the name Ixodes scapularis (black-legged tick). Lineage: Eukaryota; Metazoa; Arthropoda; Arachnida; Ixodida; Ixodidae. The record is from RNAcentral.
GCUUCUUUGCAGGGGUUGUGGUGACGUCAGAACGCCGAGCUCUGAUUGGUUAUGAAUAAAGGAUGGUGGGUAGGCCUCGAGGCAGCUUGCUUUGAGGACCACCCACUUUCUUUCUAUCAUAGCCAAUCAGAGCUCGGCGUUCUGACGUCAUCACAGUCCCUU